RNAcentral lists this ribosomal RNA (379 nucleotides) under uncultured bacterium. RNAcentral's name for it is "bacterial SSU rRNA". It matches the Rfam family "Bacterial small subunit ribosomal RNA", at positions 29 to 433 of the family's 1533-position model. The record is from RNAcentral.
AGCGAACGCUGGCGGCAUGCUUAACACAUGCAAGUCGCACGAGGGGGCAACCCCUAGUGGCGGACGGGUGAGUAACGCGUAGGUAUCUAUCCAUGGGUGGGGGAUAACAGCGGGAAACUGCUGCUAAUACCGCAUGAUGCCCGAGGGCCAAAGGCGCGAGUCGCCUGUGGAGGAGCCUGCGUCCGAUUAGCUUGUUGGUGGGGUAAAGCCUACCAAGGCGACGAUCGGUAGCUGGUCUGAGAGGAUGAUCAGCCACACUGGGACUGAGACACGGGCCCAGACUCCUACGGGAGGCAGCAGUGGGGAAUAUUGGACAAUGGGCGAAAGCCUGAUCCAGCAAUGCCGCGUGGAUGAAGAAGGUCUUCGGAUUGUAAAGUCC